GGUUAAGUUAUUAAGGGCGCAUGGUGGAUGCCUUGGCACUAGGAGCCGAUGAAGGACGUGACUAACUGCGAUAAGCUUCGGGGAGUUGUAAGUAAACUGUGAUCCGGAGAUUUCC
This 115-nucleotide ribosomal RNA is filed under the name Ligilactobacillus murinus. Its description in RNAcentral is "Lactobacillus murinus partial 23S ribosomal RNA". It matches the Rfam family "Bacterial large subunit ribosomal RNA", at positions 1 to 115 of the family's 2925-position model. Lineage: Bacteria; Bacillati; Bacillota; Bacilli; Lactobacillales; Lactobacillaceae. The record is from RNAcentral.